RNAcentral lists this ribosomal RNA (411 nucleotides) under Verrucomicrobiota bacterium. RNAcentral's name for it is "Verrucomicrobia bacterium partial 16S ribosomal RNA". It matches the Rfam family "Bacterial small subunit ribosomal RNA", at positions 355 to 776 of the family's 1533-position model. The record is from RNAcentral. Lineage: Bacteria; Pseudomonadati; Verrucomicrobiota.
UGGGGAAUCUUGCGCAAUGGGGGAAACCCUGACGCAGCGACGCCGCGUGCGGGAUGAAGGCCUUCGGGUUGUAAGCCGCUUUCAGCAGGGACGAGGCCUUAUGGUGACGGUACCUGCAGAAGAAGCUCCGGCUAAAUACGUGCCAGCAGCCGCGGUAAUACGUAUGGAGCAAGCGUUAUCCGGAUUCAUUGGGCGUAAAGCGCUCGUAGGCGGUCUGUUAGGUCGGCAAGUUAAAUCCGGGGGCUCAACCCCCGUCCGCUUCCGAUACCGGCAGACUUGAGUUUGGUAGGGGAAGGUGGAAUUCCUAGUGUAGCGGUGGAAUGCGCAGAUAUUAGGAAGAACACCGGUGGCGAAGGCGGCCUUCUGGGCCAUAACUGACGCUGAGGAGCGAAAGCUAGGGGAGCGAACAGG